CAGUAGCCACGGGAAUACGUAGGUGGCAAGCGUUGUCCGGAAUUAUUGGGCGUAAAGGGCUCGCAGGCGGUUUCUUAAGUCUGAUGUGAAAGCCCCCGGCUCAACCGGGGAGGGUCAUUGGAAACUGGGAAACUUGAGUGCAGAAGAGGAGAGUGGAAUUCCACGCGUAGCGGUGAAAUGCGUAGAGAUGUGGAGGAACACCAGUGGCGAGGGCGACUCUCUGGUCUGUAACUGACGCUGAGGAGCGAAAGCGUGGGGAGCGAACAGGAUUAGAUACCCCUGUAGUCCCUGUCUCUUAUAC
Molecule: ribosomal RNA, 301 nt
Filed under: uncultured bacterium
Lineage: Bacteria
Description: partial 16S ribosomal RNA
Rfam family: Bacterial small subunit ribosomal RNA
Source: RNAcentral